Molecule: unclassified non-coding RNA, 379 nt
Filed under: soil metagenome
Description: partial contains 5.8S ribosomal RNA, internal transcribed spacer 2, and large subunit ribosomal RNA
Rfam family: 5.8S ribosomal RNA (bases 1-120)
Source: RNAcentral
GAUGAAGAACGUAGCGAAAUGCGAUAAGUAAUGUGAAUUGCAGAAUUCAGUGAAUCAUCGAAUCUUUGAACGCAUCUUGCGCUCCUUGGUAUUCCGAGGAGCAUGCCUGUUUGAGUGUCAUUCAACUUGUCAACCACUUUGGAAGUUGUUUUUCAAUGUGGCUUGGAUGUGGGGGUUUGCAGGCUUUCUCUGAGGGUCUGCUCCUCUGAAAUGCAUUAGUGGUAUUCCUGAGCUUUACUACAGAUGUGAUAAUUUAUCUACAUCCCAAAAGUAUGCUUCAGCAACACCGCUCCUAACAAGCGAAAGCACAUUUUGAUGAAUUUGACCUCAAAUCAGGUAGGACUACCCGCUGAACUUAAGCAUAUCAAUAAGCGGAGGA